This is a long non-coding RNA of Aethina tumida (small hive beetle), 760 nucleotides long. RefSeq lists it as uncharacterized. The transcript has 3 exons. The record is from RefSeq and is a predicted model, not a curated record. NCBI's taxonomy places the organism in Eukaryota, Metazoa, Arthropoda, Insecta, Coleoptera, Nitidulidae.
UUAUAACUUCCUGUAUAUUAUACUGUAACUAUCUUUUGAUGUACCCCACGGUAUAUAUAGCUUGAGUCAAUCGUCAUAGGAGCAACCACGUGGAGGAGUCGAGGAAUUUGGUUAAUUAAUCAGUUUUUUCCUUCGUCAUCUCCUGGGACUGCUAUAUUUGGCCUGGACAUAUUUGAAAGAAAACAAAAAAAUCAAGGACUACGUAUUAGUGCAUAAGACUUUAGUGACUAAGAGUCGUGUUUCUAUGGAACCCAUCCCAUCUGAAAAACUCAUGGUGCCCUAAAUUAAAAAUACGGAGGGAAUGGCAAUAACAUACGUAUCAAGCUGAAGGUUUUAAAAAAGAAUUUAUAGAAGCGAUGCCUUAAUGCUGUUUUUGCAAUUUAUGCAAACUGCAAAGUAAAUUAUUGAAGUACUAUAACAAGCUCCUCCGAAAUUUAAUGGACCAUUGCCACAAGAAGAUUAAGGUGUGAAGUCUUUUUAUACAUUAUAUUAAUUGAAGAGAUACUGAGAACAGUCAGUGGCCGGAAGAAUAUAUUAAUAUCUGUGUAUCAGAUAUUGAAAAUGUCGCACCACAACUGAUAUUUAAAAUAAUAAGUCAUGUGUGUUACUUAAAAUAAGUAAUACAAUAAGCAUAUAAUUAUUAUUUCUGUUAAAUUUCUAUUAAAAUUUAUAUAUUAUUGGGUAUAUUAUAGGUAUAUAAUUUGUUGUUGUCAAAAAUAAGGUUUAUAACCUACUGCUCCACAAACAUUAGGGUUAUUAA